ACCAGGCGUGGAGCCUGCGGCUUAGUUUGACUCAACACGGGGAAACUCACCAGGUCCAGAUGAAAUAAGGAUUGACAGAUUGAGAGCUCUUUCUUGAUUUUUCAGGUGGUGGUGCAUGGCCGUUCUUAGUUCGUGGGGUGACUUGUCUGCUUAAUUGCGAUAACGAGCGAGACCUUACUCUGCUAAAUAGCCAGGCUAACUUUGGUUGGUCGCCGGCUUCUUAGAGAGACUAUCUACUCAAGUUGAUGGAAGUUUGAGGCAAUAACAGGUCUGUGAUGCCCUUAGAUGUUCUGGGCCGCGCGCGCGCUACACUGACAGAGCCAACGAGUUCUUUUCCUUGUUCGAAAGAAUUGGGUAAUCUUGUUAAACUCUGUCGUGCUGGGGAUAAAGCAUUGCAAUUAUUGCUUUUCAACGAGGAAUGCCUAGUAAGCGCGUGUCAUCAGCAUGU
Molecule: ribosomal RNA, 448 nt
Filed under: uncultured eukaryote
Lineage: Eukaryota
Description: SSU rRNA
Rfam family: Eukaryotic small subunit ribosomal RNA
Source: RNAcentral